Molecule: ribosomal RNA, 494 nt
Filed under: uncultured bacterium
Lineage: Bacteria
Description: partial 16S ribosomal RNA
Rfam family: Bacterial small subunit ribosomal RNA
Source: RNAcentral
GACGAACGCUGGCGGCGUGCUUAACACAUGCAAGUCGAACGGAAAGGCCUGCUUUCCCUUGUGGAUUGCGGGUACUCGAGUGGCGAACGGGUGAGUAACACGUGAGUGAUCUGCCCCCAACUUGGGUAUAAGCCUGGGAAACUGGGUCUAAUUCCCGAUAGGACUGCAGGGUGGUGCCUGUGGUGGAAAACGAUUUUCUAGUGGUUGGGGAUGAGCUCGCGGCCUACCAGCUUGUUGGUGGGGUAAUGGCCUACCAAGGCGGCGACGGGUAGCCGGCCUGAGAGGGUGGACGGCCACAUUGGGACUGAGAUACGGCCCAGACUCCUACGGGAGGCAGCAGUGGGGAAUAUUGCACAAUGGGCGGAAGCCUGAUGCAGCGACGCCGCGUGGGGGAUGACGGCCUUCGGGUUGUAAACUCCUUUCGACCGCGAGGAAGCCACCAGGUUGGAAGGGUGGUGACGGUAGUGGUAGAAGAAGCACCGGCUAACUACGUG